This 363-nucleotide ribosomal RNA is filed under the name uncultured bacterium. Its description in RNAcentral is "bacterial SSU rRNA". It matches the Rfam family "Bacterial small subunit ribosomal RNA", at positions 28 to 385 of the family's 1533-position model. The record is from RNAcentral.
GACGAACGCUGGCGGCGUGCUUAAUACAUGCAAGUGGAGCGACGAACCAGGCUUCGGCCUGGGGCAGAGCCGCGAACGGGUGAGUAACACGUGGGUAACCUGCCUCGAUGACCGGGACAACCCGGGGAAACCCGGGCUAAUACCGGAUGUGCUGUCCCCACAUCAGUGGAGACAGGAAAGGAAGCUUCGGCCUCCGCAUCGAGAUGGGCCCGCGGCCCAUUAGCUUGUUGGUGUGGAACGGCUCACCAAGGCUGCGAUGGGUAGCUGGUCUGAGAGGACGAUCAGCCACACUGGGACUGAGACACGGCCCAGACUCCUACGGGAGGCAGCAGUAGGGAAUCUUGCGCAAUGCGCGAAAGCGUG